GUGCUUGCUUCAGCAGCACAUAUACUAAAAUUGGAACAAUACAGUGAAGAUUAGCAUGGUCACUGUGCAAAGAUGACAUGCAAAUUUGUGAGACAUUCCAUAUUUGU
Small nuclear RNA from Choloepus didactylus (southern two-toed sloth), 107 nucleotides. The record is from RefSeq and is a predicted model, not a curated record. Lineage: Eukaryota; Metazoa; Chordata; Mammalia; Pilosa; Megalonychidae.